AAUGCACACGAGCAGACAGAGAAGCAACAUCUUUAAGGUACUGAGGGCAGGAGAAGUUAAUGUAGAAUACUAUGCCAGAAAAAAUAAAUUCCCAAAAGUGGAAGUGAAAUAAGGACAUUUAGAGAUGUACAAAAGCUGACCGAAUUCACUACCAGUCAACCCACACUACAAGAAACAUCAAAUGAGUCCUCCAAGCAGAAGGAAUCCAAUACCAGAUGAAAAUCCAGAUCUCCACGAGGAAAUGAAGAACACCAGAAAUGGGUAACUAUACUAGAUCGGCCCUUUCUUCAAAUAAGAGCAGUUGGAAUAACAAAGCUGUUCAGUUGUACCCUUGGAAUCCACUGAAAUCCUGGGUAGGGAAGCUCCAGUACCACCAACUGGAAAGACUGGGAAUGCCUAAUAGCUGGUACUGGCCAUUGUCGUAGGCUUUGUCCACUCUGACAAACUGAAGAUGGGGACUCGACUCACCUUCGCCAGCCACAGGAGGACCUCCAGACGAGGACAGGACUCGCUGCCUUUCUUUCCCGUCAGAAAGGGAUCCCUUGCGGACAGGACCUAA
This 559-nucleotide long non-coding RNA is filed under the name Homo sapiens (human). Its description in RNAcentral is "non-protein coding lnc-GPR89B-11:1". Lineage: Eukaryota; Metazoa; Chordata; Mammalia; Primates; Hominidae. The record is from RNAcentral.